AGCUUAUCUAACUAUGUGCUUACUUAGAAGCUCCAGUGCUGGAACUCUCUCCCAUCAGGAGACAACAGUCAAUUUACAAUCUAAAGUAUGCACAUGAUGAAACUCUCUCCCACCUGGAGAGUAUCUUGAGACAACAGCCAUUUUACAACCCAGUUCUGCCCACAAUAGCCCCGCUGGCUGGACCACCUGGUGGAUAAGGCACUGAAGUGAGUUGUGUAGACCCCUGCCUGCUUGCUCUUUCUCCUGCGUAUUGUUCAUGCCAAGUUCCCAUUUAAAGCCCCUGAUUUCUGCCCCCAAAGUAAAACAGUACCUUUAAAGGCAGGAGCCUGUAUUUCUUCCCCUAAGCUAAGCUUUGAAACAGCAUCACGUUCUUUAUACCAGAACUUGCUCUUGUUCAUUUGACUCUGCUAGUGUCGAGUGACUGAACUUGUAUUUCAGUUACAAUCCUACUUUUAUGCUAUACUUGUGGAAUGAAGAGAGGCUAAAUGGGCCUAAGGUUGAACAGUGAAAUGAAUAUAUUUGCAUGUUUAAAGGUCAUUUUUGGUGGUAGUGUGGUAGAUAACUAGAAAGAAAGAGUGUGGUCAAAGAAAAGUCACUUGAUUGAUUAUGAAAAACCAUUCUCUAGAUGACAGUGCUAAGAGCCUCUUUUAAGGCAGAGACCAUGAGCAAACAGAAGAGGCAAUACACUGGAAAAAUAGGUAGACGUUAGAAUCAGUAGGGAUGGUAACUAGAAUUGGAAUAUUAAGAGGAGGGAACAUUCUGGGACCACUACAGAACUUCCAGGUUGGGUGACUGAUGAUGGUACAACCAAUUAUAAUAAAGAUCUUAGAAGAUCAGUAGGUGGUGGUAGAGGGUGGUAGAGCAUAGGAUUAGCCAAGGUAGACUUAGCUUGAUAUGUUUGUGGGACGUCGUUUGGUAAAAAUAUCUAGGUGUUGAUUGGAAGGAGGAAUGCAUGUCUAGAAGAAAAGUCAAAGCCACAGAUGAAUACAUGAAACUACUGUUAUUACCAAACCACUCAUCUUCAGUGGAAUGUUCCUUAGUAAUUGGAUUGCAUUCCUCCUCUUCUGGAGAAUGGGACGUCUUAUCAGACUCCACAUGUGUGAACAUGGAGCAUACUUCCCUACCCUUGUGAAUGUGAUAUCACACCUCAAUCAGACCCCACAUGUGAGCUACUGACCUCAACUACUGGACUUUAAAACACAAUAAACUCAGAAGUUUGGCAGACACUGUAAGAGCUGAGGCCAUGGCAGGUUGCACUUGCAGCUGCUGUGCCAAGACUCACAGCUCAGGCAGCCGCAGCACCACACCCUGUUAACCUUUGAAGUUAUCUCCAAAGCCUGGCCUGGCAGCACCAACACCACCCUCCAGUUUUAGGUUCAUCAUGGAUGUCUGCUGUGUUGGAUCUCUGCUGUGUUGGACUCCAGCUCUCCUGAGAAACCUUUCAUGUAAAUGUACACCUCAAUCUUUAACUGGAUUUUACUUUCCGCAGAGGUCUGCUUCUAUCCUAAUUGAUUAGUUAGAAUUUAAUAGUUUUGGAACUCACUCACUAUGUGGUGAUGUACCUCGUCUAUCAAAUGUAUUCCCUGUGAGUUUUUUCUCAUUGUUCUCCUCCUCUUUAAGCACUGCGAAC
RNAcentral lists this long non-coding RNA (1630 nucleotides) under Callithrix jacchus (white-tufted-ear marmoset). RNAcentral describes it as "lncRNA (ENSCJAG00000085561.1)". The record is from RNAcentral. Lineage: Eukaryota; Metazoa; Chordata; Mammalia; Primates; Cebidae.